Small nucleolar RNA from Nycticebus coucang (slow loris), 95 nucleotides. RefSeq annotates it as small nucleolar RNA SNORD116. NCBI's taxonomy places the organism in Eukaryota, Metazoa, Chordata, Mammalia, Primates, Lorisidae. The transcript has a single exon. The record is from RefSeq and is a predicted model, not a curated record.
GGAUCGAUGAUGAGUCCCCCAUCAAAACAUUCCUUGGAAAAGCUGAACAAAAUGAGUGAAACUCACAACCGUCUCACUCAUCGGAACUGAGGUCC